Molecule: ribosomal RNA, 253 nt
Filed under: uncultured bacterium
Lineage: Bacteria
Description: partial 16S ribosomal RNA
Rfam family: Bacterial small subunit ribosomal RNA
Source: RNAcentral
UACGUAGGGCGCAAGCGUUGUCCGGAAUUAUUGGGCGUAAAGAGCUCGUAGGCGGCCUGUUACGUCUGCUGUGAAAUCCCGGGGCUUAACCCCGGGCGUGCAGUGGAUACGGGCAGACUGGAGUUCGGCAGGGGAGACUGGAAUUCCUGGUGUAGCGGUGAAAUGCGCAGAUAUCAGGAGGAACACCGGUGGCGAAGGCGGGUCUCUGGGCCGAUACUGACGCUGAGGAGCGAAAGCGUGGGGAGCGAACAGG